This 403-nucleotide ribosomal RNA is filed under the name uncultured bacterium. RNAcentral describes it as "partial 16S ribosomal RNA". It matches the Rfam family "Bacterial small subunit ribosomal RNA", at positions 28 to 526 of the family's 1533-position model. The record is from RNAcentral.
GACGAACGCUGGCGGCGUGCCUAAUACAUGCAAGUCGAACGCAGUGGGGACGGGUGAGUAACACGUGGGUAACCUCCCAUCAGAGGGGAUAACACUUGGAAACAGGUGCUAAACCCAUACUGAUGGAUGGACCCGCGGUGCAUUAGCUAGUUGGUGAGGUAACGGCUCACCAAGGCCACGAUGCAUAGCGGGGCGGAGAGGGUGAUCGGCCACACUGGAACUGAGACACGGCCCAGACUCCUACGGGAGGCAGCAGUGGGGAAUAUUGGGCAAUGGACGAAAGUCUGACCGAGCAACGCCGCGUGAGUGAAGAAGGUUUUCGGGUCGUAAAACUCUGUCGGUGAAGAGGCGGUACUCAACGAGAAAGCCACGGCUAACUACGUGCCAGCCGCCGCGGUAAUAC